GACAGAGGUGGCAAGCGUUGUUCGGAUUUACUGGGCGUAAAGCGCGUGUAGGCGGAUCGUUAAGUCGGGGGUGAAAGCCCAGAGCUCAACUCUGGAAUUGCCUUCGAUACUGGCGGUCUGGAGCAGAGAAGAGGCGAGUGGAAUUCCGAGUGUAGAGGUGAAAUUCGUAGAUAUUCGGAGGAACACCAGUGGCGAAGGCGGCUCGCUGGUCUCUUGCUGACGCUGAGACGCGAAAGCGUGGGGAGCAAACAGG
RNAcentral lists this ribosomal RNA (253 nucleotides) under uncultured bacterium. RNAcentral describes it as "partial 16S ribosomal RNA". It matches the Rfam family "Bacterial small subunit ribosomal RNA", at positions 524 to 776 of the family's 1533-position model. The record is from RNAcentral.